Molecule: ribosomal RNA, 2929 nt
Filed under: Escherichia coli
Lineage: Bacteria; Pseudomonadati; Pseudomonadota; Gammaproteobacteria; Enterobacterales; Enterobacteriaceae
Description: bacterial LSU rRNA
Rfam family: Bacterial large subunit ribosomal RNA
Source: RNAcentral
GGGUUGUGAGGUUAAGCGACUAAGCGUACACGGUGGAUGCCCUGGCAGUCAGAGGCGAUGAAGGACGUGCUAAUCUGCGAUAAGCGUCGGUAAGGUGAUAUGAACCGUUAUAACCGGCGAUUUCCGAAUGGGGAAACCCAGUGUGUUUCGACACACUAUCAUUAACUGAAUCCAUAGGUUAAUGAGGCGAACCGGGGGAACUGAAACAUCUAAGUACCCCGAGGAAAAGAAAUCAACCGAGAUUCCCCCAGUAGCGGCGAGCGAACGGGGAGCAGCCCAGAGCCUGAAUCAGUAUGUGUGUUAGUGGAAGCGUCUGGAAAGGCGCGCGAUACAGGGUGACAGCCCCGUACACAAAAAUGCACAUAUUGUGAGCUCGAUGAGUAGGGCGGGACACGUGGUAUCCUGUCUGAAUAUGGGGGACCAUCCUCCAAGGCUAAAUACUCCUGACUGACCGAUAGUGAACCAGUACCGUGAGGGAAAGGCGAAAAGAACCCCGGCGAGGGGAGUGAAAAAGAACCUGAAACCGUGUACGUACAAGCAGUGGGAGCACGCUUAGGCGUGUGACUGCGUACCUUUUGUAUAAUGGGUCAGCGACUUAUAUUCUGUAGCAAGGUUAACCGAAUAGGGGAGCCGAAGGGAAACCGAGUCUUAACUGGGCGUUAAGUUGCAGGGUAUAGACCCGAAACCCGGUGAUCUAGCCAUGGGCAGGUUGAAGGUUGGGUAACACUAACUGGAGGACCGAACCGACUAAUGUUGAAAAAUUAGCGGAUGACUUGUGGCUGGGGGUGAAAGGCCAAUCAAACCGGGAGAUAGCUGGUUCUCCCCGAAAGCUAUUUAGGUAGCGCCUCGUGAAUUCAUCUCCGGGGUAGAGCACUGUUUCGGCAAGGGGGUCAUCCCGACUUACCAACCCGAUGCAAACUGCGAAUACCGGAGAAUGUUAUCACGGGAGACACACGGCGGGUGCUAACGUCCGUCGUGAAGAGGGAAACAACCCAGACCGCCAGCUAAGGUCCCAAAGUCAUGGUUAAGUGGGAAACGAUGUGGGAAGGCCCAGACAGCCAGGAUGUUGGCUUAGAAGCAGCCAUCAUUUAAAGAAAGCGUAAUAGCUCACUGGUCGAGUCGGCCUGCGCGGAAGAUGUAACGGGGCUAAACCAUGCACCGAAGCUGCGGCAGCGACACUAUGUGUUGUUGGGUAGGGGAGCGUUCUGUAAGCCUGUGAAGGUGUGCUGUGAGGCAUGCUGGAGGUAUCAGAAGUGCGAAUGCUGACAUAAGUAACGAUAAAGCGGGUGAAAAGCCCGCUCGCCGGAAGACCAAGGGUUCCUGUCCAACGUUAAUCGGGGCAGGGUGAGUCGACCCCUAAGGCGAGGCCGAAAGGCGUAGUCGAUGGGAAACAGGUUAAUAUUCCUGUACUUGGUGUUACUGCGAAGGGGGACGGAGAAGGCUAUGUUGGCCGGGCGACGGUUGUCCCGGUUUAAGCGUGUAGGCUGGUUUUCCAGGCAAAUCCGGAAAAUCAAGGCUGAGGCGUGAUGACGAGGCACUACGGUGCUGAAGCAACAAAUGCCCUGCUUCCAGGAAAAGCCUCUAAGCAUCAGGUAACAUCAAAUCGUACCCCAAACCGACACAGGUGGUCAGGUAGAGAAUACCAAGGCGCUUGAGAGAACUCGGGUGAAGGAACUAGGCAAAAUGGUGCCGUAACUUCGGGAGAAGGCACGCUGAUAUGUAGGUGAAGUCCCUCGCGGAUGGAGCUGAAAUCAGUCGAAGAUACCAGCUGGCUGCAACUGUUUAUUAAAAACACAGCACUGUGCAAACACGAAAGUGGACGUAUACGGUGUGACGCCUGCCCGGUGCCGGAAGGUUAAUUGAUGGGGUUAGCCGCAAGGCGAAGCUCUUGAUCGAAGCCCCGGUAAACGGCGGCCGUAACUAUAACGGUCCUAAGGUAGCGAAAUUCCUUGUCGGGUAAGUUCCGACCUGCACGAAUGGCGUAAUGAUGGCCAGGCUGUCUCCACCCGAGACUCAGUGAAAUUGAACUCGCUGUGAAGAUGCAGUGUACCCGCGGCAAGACGGAAAGACCCCGUGAACCUUUACUAUAGCUUGACACUGAACAUUGAGCCUUGAUGUGUAGGAUAGGUGGGAGGCUUUGAAGUGUGGACGCCAGUCUGCAUGGAGCCGACCUUGAAAUACCACCCUUUAAUGUUUGAUGUUCUAACGUUGACCCGUAAUCCGGGUUGCGGACAGUGUCUGGUGGGUAGUUUGACUGGGGCGGUCUCCUCCUAAAGAGUAACGGAGGAGCACGAAGGUUGGCUAAUCCUGGUCGGACAUCAGGAGGUUAGUGCAAUGGCAUAAGCCAGCUUGACUGCGAGCGUGACGGCGCGAGCAGGUGCGAAAGCAGGUCAUAGUGAUCCGGUGGUUCUGAAUGGAAGGGCCAUCGCUCAACGGAUAAAAGGUACUCCGGGGAUAACAGGCUGAUACCGCCCAAGAGUUCAUAUCGACGGCGGUGUUUGGCACCUCGAUGUCGGCUCAUCACAUCCUGGGGCUGAAGUAGGUCCCAAGGGUAUGGCUGUUCGCCAUUUAAAGUGGUACGCGAGCUGGGUUUAGAACGUCGUGAGACAGUUCGGUCCCUAUCUGCCGUGGGCGCUGGAGAACUGAGGGGGGCUGCUCCUAGUACGAGAGGACCGGAGUGGACGCAUCACUGGUGUUCGGGUUGUCAUGCCAAUGGCACUGCCCGGUAGCUAAAUGCGGAAGAGAUAAGUGCUGAAAGCAUCUAAGCACGAAACUUGCCCCGAGAUGAGUUCUCCCUGACUCCUUGAGAGUCCUGAAGGAACGUUGAAGACGACGACGUUGAUAGGCCGGGUGUGUAAGCGCAGCGAUGCGUUGAGCUAACCGGUACUAAUGAACCGUGAGGCUUAACCUUACAACGCCGAAGGUGUUU